GCAGCAGGCACGCAAAUUACCCACUCCCGGCACGGGGAGGUAGUGACAAAAAAUAACGAUACGGGACUCUAUUGAGGCCCCGUAAUCGGAAUGAGUACACUUUAAAUCCUUUAACAAGGAUCCAUUGGAGGGCAAGUCUGGUGCCAGCAGCCGCGGUAAUUCCAGCUCCAAUAGCGUAUAUUAAAGUUGUUGCGGUUAAAAAGCUCGUAGUUGGUUCUGCGUGCCGCGCUGUCGGUUCGCCGCCUGUCGGUGUAACUGGCAUGUCGCGGCAUGUCCUGUCGGUGGUGAACGGAGUCCACAAUGCUACAUAGGCUUUAUAGCCGAUGUUAGCGUCGUGUGUACUUCCGUUGGCCGAUCUCUCCUACUUCGGUGCUCUUAAACGAGUGUCGAGGUAGGCCGACACGUUCACUUUGAACAAAUUAGAGUGCUUAAAGCAGGCUAAAAUCUCUGCCUGAAUAGUGGUGCAUGGAAUGAUAAAACAGGACCUCGGUUCUAUUUUGUUGGUUUUAGGAAUAUGAGGUAAUGAUCAAUGUGGACUGGCGGGGGCAUUCGUAUUGCGACGUUAGAGGUGAAAUUCUUGGAUCGUCGCAAGACGCACUAGAGCGAAAGCAUUUGCCAAGUAUGUCUUAAUUGAUCAAGAACGAAAGUUAGAGGUUCGAAGGCGAUCAGAUACCGCCCUAGUUCUAACCAUAAACGAUGCCAGCCAGCGAUCCGCCGAUGUUCCUUUAAUGACUCGGCGGGGAGCUUCCACCCGGGAAACCAAAGCUUUUGGGUUCCGGGGGAAGUAUGGUUGCAAAGCUGAAACUUAAAGGAAUUGACGGAAGGGCACCACCAGGAGUGGAGCCUGCGGCUUAAUUUGACUCAACACGGGAAACCUCACCAGGCCAGGACAUUGGAAGGAUUGACAGAUUGAUAGCUCUUUCUUGAUUCAGUGGGUAGUGGUGCAUGGCCGUUC
Molecule: ribosomal RNA, 955 nt
Filed under: Triatoma recurva
Lineage: Eukaryota; Metazoa; Arthropoda; Insecta; Hemiptera; Reduviidae
Description: SSU rRNA
Rfam family: Eukaryotic small subunit ribosomal RNA
Source: RNAcentral